Molecule: ribosomal RNA, 315 nt
Filed under: uncultured Hyphochytrium
Lineage: Eukaryota; Hyphochytriomycetes
Description: partial large subunit ribosomal RNA
Rfam family: Eukaryotic large subunit ribosomal RNA
Source: RNAcentral
AUAUCAAUAAGCGGAGGAAAAGAAACCAACCGGGAUUCCCCUAGUAACGGCGAGUGAAGCGGGAAGAGCUCAACUUGAAAAUCGGUGCGGCCCCGCCGCAUUGAAUUGUAGUCUAUAGAGCUGUUGUCAGUCAAGCUCUCGGGAGAAGUCUCUUGGAACAGGGCAUCAUAGAGGGUGACAAUCCCGUCUGUGCCCGGGAAUGCUUGACGUACGAUACGCUUUCAACGAGUCGAGUUGCUUGGGACUGCAGCUCAAAAUGGGUGGUAAAUUCCAUCUAAAGCUAAAUAUUGGCGAGAGACCGAUAGCGCACAAGUA